This 476-nucleotide ribosomal RNA is filed under the name uncultured organism. RNAcentral's name for it is "partial 16S ribosomal RNA". It matches the Rfam family "Bacterial small subunit ribosomal RNA", at positions 330 to 797 of the family's 1533-position model. The record is from RNAcentral.
CGUACACUCCUGCGGGAGGCAGCAGUGGGGAAUUUUGGACAAUGGGCGAAAGCCUGAUCCAGCCAUGCCGCGUGCAGGAUGAAGGCCUUCGGGUUGUAAACUGCUUUUGUACGGAACGAAACGGCCUUUUCUAAUAAAGAUGGCUAAUGACGGUACCGUAAGAAUAAGCACCGGCUAACUACGUGCCAGCAGCCGCGGUAAUACGUAGAGUGCAAGCGUUAAUCGGAAUUACUGGGCGUAAAGCGUGCGCAGGCGGUUAUGUAAGACAGUUGUGAAAUCCCCGGGCUCAACCUGGGAACUGCAUCUGUGACUGCAUAGCUAGAGUACGGUAGAGGGGGAUGGAAUUCCGCGUGUAGCAGUGAAAUGCGUAGAUAUGCGGAGGAACACCGAUGGCGAAGGCAAUCCCCUGGACCUGUACUGACGCUCAUGCACGAAAGCGUGGGGAGCAAACAGGAUUAGAUACCCCAGUAGUCCCA